UAAGCGGGUAGUGAAAUCUUGUGGCUCAACCACAAGGCUAUUACCUGAACUGACAAGCUUGAGUAUGGUAGAGGUCACUGGAAUUCCAAGUGUAGGAGUGAAAUCCGUAGAUAUUUGGAGGAACACCGAUGGCGUAGGCAGGUGACUGGACCACAACUGACACUAAGGCACGAAAGCGUGGUAGCAAGCGGAUUAGAUACCCGGUAGUCCACGCCUAAACGAUGGAUGCUA
Molecule: ribosomal RNA, 231 nt
Filed under: uncultured Candidatus Saccharibacteria bacterium
Lineage: Bacteria; Candidatus Saccharimonadota
Description: partial 16S ribosomal RNA
Rfam family: Bacterial small subunit ribosomal RNA
Source: RNAcentral